Molecule: ribosomal RNA, 878 nt
Filed under: Serratia marcescens
Lineage: Bacteria; Pseudomonadati; Pseudomonadota; Gammaproteobacteria; Enterobacterales; Yersiniaceae
Description: bacterial SSU rRNA
Rfam family: Bacterial small subunit ribosomal RNA
Source: RNAcentral
AUUGAACGCUGGCGGCAGGCCUAACACAUGCAAGUCGAGCGGUAGCACAAGGGAGCUUGCUCCCUGGGUGACGAGCGGCGGACGGGUGAGUAAUGUCUGGGAAACUGCCUGAUGGAGGGGGAUAACUACUGGAAACGGUAGCUAAUACCGCAUAACGUCGCAAGACCAAAGAGGGGGACCUUCGGGCCUCUUGCCAUCAGAUGUGCCCAGAUGGGAUUAGCUAGUAGGUGGGGUAAUGGCUCACCUAGGCGACGAUCCCUAGCUGGUCUGAGAGGAUGACCAGCCACACUGGAACUGAGACACGGUCCAGACUCCUACGGGAGGCAGCAGUGGGGAAUAUUGCACAAUGGGCGCAAGCCUGAUGCAGCCAUGCCGCGUGUGUGAAGAAGGCCUUCGGGUUGUAAAGCACUUUCAGCGAGGAGGAAGGUGGUGAACUUAAUACGUUCAUCAAUUGACGUUACUCGCAGAAGAAGCACCGGCUAACUCCGUGCCAGCAGCCGCGGUAAUACGGAGGGUGCAAGCGUUAAUCGGAAUUACUGGGCGUAAAGCGCACGCAGGCGGUUUGUUAAGUCAGAUGUGAAAUCCCCGGGCUCAACCUGGGAACUGCAUUUGAAACUGGCAAGCUAGGGUCUCGUAGAGGGGGGUAGAAUUCCAGGUGUAGCGGUGAAAUGCGUAGAGAUCUGGAGGAAUACCGGUGGCGAAGGCGGCCCCCUGGACGAAGACUGACGCUCAGGUGCGAAAGCGUGGGGGAGCAAACAAGAUUAAAUACCCUUGGUGUCCCCGGGCGAAUUUCAUCAUUGAUUUUAAGCUUAUCGAUACGGCGAGCUCUGUGUGGAGGGCCUGUACCCAAGUUUUGUUCCUCUUAGGAGGGUUAAUUA